GCUCAGGAUGAACGCUGGCGGCGUGCCUAAUACAUGCAAGUCGAGCGAACAGAUAAGGAGCUUGCUCCUUUGAAGUCAGCGGCGGACGGGUGAGUAACACGUGGGUAACCUACCUAUAAGACUGGAAUAACUUCGGGAAACCGGAGCUAAUGCCGGAUAACAUAUAGAACCGCAUGGUUCUAUAGUGAAAGAUGGUUUUGCUAUCACUUAUAGAUGGACCCGCGCCGUAUUAGCUAGUUGGUAAGGUAAAGGCUUACCAAGGCGACGAUACGUAGCCGACCUGAGAGGGUGAUCGGCCACACUGGAACUGAGACACGGUCCAGACUCCUACGGGAGGCAGCAGUAGGGAAUCUUCCGCAAUGGGCGAAAGCCUGACGGAGCAACGCCGCGUGAGUGAUGAAGGUUUUCGGAUCGUAAAACUCUGUUAUUAGGGAAGAACAAAUGCGUAAGUAACUGUGCGCAUCUUGACGGUACCUAAUCAGAAAGCCACGGCUAACUACGUGCCAGCAGCCGCGGUAAUACGUAGGUGGCAAGCGUUAUCCGGAAUUAUUGGGCGUAAAGCGCGCGUAGGCGGUUUCUUAAGUCUGAUGUGAAAGCCCACGGCUCAACCGUGGAGGGUCAUUGGAAACUGGGAAACUUGAGUGCAGAAGAGGAAAGUGGAAUUCCAUGUGUAGCGGUGAAAUGCGCAGAGAUAUGGAGGAACACCAGUGGCGAAGGCGACUUUCUGGUCUGUAACUGACGCUGAUGUGCGAAAG
This 755-nucleotide ribosomal RNA is filed under the name uncultured bacterium. RNAcentral describes it as "bacterial SSU rRNA". It matches the Rfam family "Bacterial small subunit ribosomal RNA", at positions 22 to 759 of the family's 1533-position model. The record is from RNAcentral.